AAACAAUGAUGGGACCUCACACUCAACCCAUCCGCCCGGAUACUACGAGCGCAAGCUUAAAACCCAAAGGACUUGGCGGUGCUUUAGACCCAACUAGAGGAGCCUGCUCCCCAACCGACACUCCCCGUUAAACCUCACCCUUUCUUGUAACUUACAGCCUGUAUACCGCCGUCGCCAGUCUACCCUCUGAGGGACCCGCAGUUGGCUUGAACGAUAACCCUACUCCAGAAUGUCAGGUCGAGGUGCAGCCUAUGAAAGGGGCCCACAGUGGGCUACAUUCGCUUACUUCAAGCGCAUACGGAAACUUAAUACUGAAAUACAUAAGUUGAAGGUGGAUCUAGCAGUAAGAGGGGAAUAGCGUGCCCC
RNAcentral lists this ribosomal RNA (366 nucleotides) under Aulostomus chinensis (Chinese trumpetfish). RNAcentral describes it as "partial 12S ribosomal RNA". It matches the Rfam family "Bacterial small subunit ribosomal RNA", at positions 801 to 1360 of the family's 1533-position model. The record is from RNAcentral. Lineage: Eukaryota; Metazoa; Chordata; Actinopteri; Syngnathiformes; Aulostomidae.